CUUCCCAUAUAAUUGCUGCCAUGCUGUUUUCAAGUAGUGUGGGCAGUUAUACGCGUGGGAUAAAUUAUCCUCAAUUCCCAGUAGAGAGUAUGGUGGGACAGGGAAUGUCUCAGCUUUGCAAAGGGACUUGAACAUAA
This 137-nucleotide small nucleolar RNA is filed under the name Pogona vitticeps (central bearded dragon). RNAcentral describes it as "Small nucleolar RNA SNORA20 (ENSPVIG00000009920.1)". Lineage: Eukaryota; Metazoa; Chordata; Lepidosauria; Squamata; Agamidae. The record is from RNAcentral.